CAGUAACGGCGAGUGAAGCGGCAACAGCUCAAAUUUGAAAUCUGGCCCCCAGGGCCCGAGUUGUAAUUUGCAGAGGAUGCUUUUGGCGCGGUGCCUUCCGAGUUCCCUGGAACGGGACGCCAUAGAGGGUGAGAGCCCCGUCUGGUCGGACACCAAGCCAGUGUAAAGCUCCUUCGACGAGUCGAGUAGUUUGGGAAUGCUGCUCUAAAUGGGAGGUAUAUGUCUUCUAAAGCUAAAUACCGGCCAGAGACCGAUAGCGCACAAGUAGAGUGAUCGAAAGAUGAAAAGCACUUUGAAAAGAGGGUUAAACAGUACGUGAAAUUGUUGAAAGGGAAGCGUUUAUGACCAGACUUGGGCCCGGUGAAUCAUCCAGCGUUCUCGCUGGUGCACUUCGCCGGGCUCAGGCCAGCAUCAGUUCGCCGCGGGGGACAAAAGCUUCGGGAACGUGGCUCCCUCGGGAGUGUUAUAGCCCGUUGCAUAAUACCCUGUGGCGGACUGAGGUUCGCGCUCCGCAAGGAUGCUGGCGUAAUGGUCAUCAGCGACCCGUCUUGAAACACGGACCAAGGAGUCGUCUUCGUAUGCGAGUGUUCGGGUGUCAAACCCCUACGCGUAAUGAAAGUGAACGCAGGUGAGAGCUUCGGCGCAUCAUCGACCGAUCCUGAUGUUCUCGGAUGGAUUUGAGUAAGAGCAUACGGGGCCGGACCCGAAAGAAGGUGAACUAUGCCUGUAUAGGGUGAAGCCAGAGGAAACUCUGGUGGAGGCUCGCAGCGGUUCUGACGUGCAAAUCGAUCGUCAAAUAUGGGCAUG
Molecule: ribosomal RNA, 807 nt
Filed under: Tolypocladium sp. RG-2013a
Lineage: Eukaryota; Fungi; Ascomycota; Sordariomycetes; Hypocreales; Ophiocordycipitaceae
Description: eukaryotic LSU rRNA
Rfam family: Eukaryotic large subunit ribosomal RNA
Source: RNAcentral